This 305-nucleotide ribosomal RNA is filed under the name uncultured bacterium. Its description in RNAcentral is "bacterial SSU rRNA". It matches the Rfam family "Bacterial small subunit ribosomal RNA", at positions 337 to 656 of the family's 1533-position model. The record is from RNAcentral.
UCCUACGGGAGGCAGCAGUCGGGAAUAUUGCGCAAUGGAGGAAACUCUGACGCAGUGACGCCGCGUGCAGGAAGAAGGUUUUCGGAUUGUAAACUGCUUUAGACAGGGAAGAAAGAAAUGACGGUACCUGUAGAAUAAGCUCCGGCUAACUACGUGCCAGCAGCCGCGGUAAUACGUAGGGAGCAAGCGUUAUCCGGAUUUACUGGGUGUAAAGGGAGCGUAGACGGUUACGCAAGUCUGGAGUGAAAGGCGGGGGCCCAACCCCCGGACUGCUUUGGAAACUGUAUAACUGGAGUGCAGGAGAG